RNAcentral lists this ribosomal RNA (550 nucleotides) under Funneliformis mosseae. RNAcentral describes it as "SSU rRNA". It matches the Rfam family "Eukaryotic small subunit ribosomal RNA", at positions 548 to 1098 of the family's 1831-position model. Lineage: Eukaryota; Fungi; Glomeromycota; Glomeromycetes; Glomerales; Glomeraceae. The record is from RNAcentral.
UUGGAGGGCAAGUCUGGUGCCAGCAGCCGCGGUAAUUCCAGCUCCAAUAGCGUAUAUUAAAGUUGUUGCAGUUAAAAAGCUCGUAGUUGAAUUUCGGGAUCAAUAUUUCGGUCAUGCCGUUGGUAUGCACUGUUAUCAUUGAUUUCUCACCUUCUAAAGAACCGUAAUGCCAUUAAUUUGGUGUUACGGGGAAUUAGGACUGUUACCUUGAAAAAAUUAGAGUGUUUAAAGCAGGCUCACGCUUGAAUACAUUAGCAUGGAAUAAUGAAAUAGGACAUCCGAUUCUAUUUUGUUGGUUUCUAGGAUCGAUGUAAUGAUUAAUAGGGAUAGUUGGGGGCAUUAGUAUUCAAUUGUCAGAGGUGAAAUUCUUGGAUUUAUUGAAGACUAACUACUGCGAAAGCAUUUACCAAGGAUGUUUUCAUUAAUCAAGAACGAAAGUUAGGGGAUCGAAGACGAUCAGAUACCGUCGUAGUCUUAACCAUAAACCAUGCCGACUAGGGAUCGGAUGAUGUUAAUUUUUUAAUGACUCAUUCGGCGCCUUACGGGAAAC